Molecule: ribosomal RNA, 253 nt
Filed under: uncultured bacterium
Lineage: Bacteria
Description: partial 16S ribosomal RNA
Rfam family: Bacterial small subunit ribosomal RNA
Source: RNAcentral
UACGAAGGGGGCUAGCGUUGCUCGGAAUCACUGGGCGUAAAGCGCACGUAGGCGGAUUGUUAAGUCAGGGGUGAAAUCCUGGAGCUCAACUCCAGAACUGCCUUUGAUACUGGCGAUCUUGAGUCCGGGAGAGGUGAGUGGAACUGCGAGUGUAGAGGUGAAAUUCGUAGAUAUUCGCAAGAACACCAGUGGCGAAGGCGGCUCACUGGCCCGGUACUGACGCUGAGGUGCGAAAGCGUGGGGAGCAAACGGG